UGAAGCUGUGCCCAGCAAACCAGCCGCUCGCGCCCAAUCCGUUCAGACCCACAAGCCCGCGUGCAAGCUCACAUUUGAAUCCCCUGUGAGCUGCGUCCAGACCAUCCUUUUUUUCCUUUUUCAUGAAACGUGCUUGGACCUGCCAAGUGCCACAUCCAUUGUUGACAUGAACCAUCAUGGACCGCGCUAAAUAGCUAGGCUGCAUGGCUUCCUGUAGAUCGGCUGCUUUAAAAAGGGUUUUAGGCCAGAUUUGAGUUGGUUUGGGCUAGAAUUUGGCUUGGAUUUGAGGCGCUUUUGAUUCUCCAUUUGGAGCCUGUCUUGAAUCCAAUUUGCUCCCAGUUUUCUUUCCUUUAUCCUGCGAAUCGGGCUCUUUACAUUGAUAAAUAUUUUCUCUACAAAAAGAUGC
Molecule: long non-coding RNA, 406 nt
Filed under: Elaeis guineensis (African oil palm)
Lineage: Eukaryota; Viridiplantae; Streptophyta; Magnoliopsida; Arecales; Arecaceae
Description: long non-coding RNA (EGUI_LNC028073)
Source: RNAcentral